UACGGGGGGGGCAAGCGUUGUUCGGAAUUACUGGGCGUAAAGGGCUCGUAGGCGGCCCACUAAGUCAGACGUGAAAUCCCUCGGCUUAACCGGGGAACUGCGUCUGAUACUGGAGGGCUUGAGUUUGGGAGAGGGAUGCGGAAUUCCAGGUGUAGCGGUGAAAUGCGUAGAUAUCUGGAGGAACACCGGUGGCGAAGGCGGCAUCCUGGACCAACACUGACGCUGAGGAGCGAAAGCCAGGGAGCAAGCGGGA
RNAcentral lists this ribosomal RNA (253 nucleotides) under uncultured bacterium. RNAcentral's name for it is "partial 16S ribosomal RNA". It matches the Rfam family "Bacterial small subunit ribosomal RNA", at positions 524 to 777 of the family's 1533-position model. The record is from RNAcentral.